RNAcentral lists this ribosomal RNA (254 nucleotides) under uncultured bacterium. Its description in RNAcentral is "partial 16S ribosomal RNA". It matches the Rfam family "Bacterial small subunit ribosomal RNA", at positions 524 to 776 of the family's 1533-position model. The record is from RNAcentral.
UACGUAGGGUGCAAGCGUUGUCCGGAAUUAUUGGGCGUAAAGAGCUCGUAGGCGGUCUGUCGCGUCUGCUGUGAAAACUCGGGGCUUAACCCCGGGCCUGCAGUGGGUACGGGCAGACUAGAGUGCGGUAGGGGAGACUGGAAUUCCUGGUGUAGCGGUGAAAUGCGCAGAUAUCAGGAGGAACACCGAUGGCGAAGGCAGGUCUCUGGGCCACUACUGACGCUGAGAAGCGAAAGCAUGGGGGAGCGAACGGG